RNAcentral lists this ribosomal RNA (377 nucleotides) under Betta gladiator. RNAcentral's name for it is "partial 12S ribosomal RNA". It matches the Rfam family "Bacterial small subunit ribosomal RNA", at positions 801 to 1384 of the family's 1533-position model. The record is from RNAcentral. Lineage: Eukaryota; Metazoa; Chordata; Actinopteri; Anabantiformes; Osphronemidae.
UAAACAUUGAUAUUUAUUACACCCACUAUCCGCCCGGGUACUACGAGCAUGAGCUUAAAACCCAAAGGACUUGGCGGUGCUUAAGAUCCCCCUAGAGGAGCCUGUUCUAGAACCGAUAAUCCCCGUUCAACCUCACCCUCUUUUGUUUUUCCCGCCUAUAUACCGCCGUCGUCAGCUUACCCCAUGAGGGGCUAAUAGUGAGCAAAAAUGGCACAGCCUAAAACGUCAGGUCGAGGUGUAGCAUAUGAGAGGGGAAGAAAUGGGCUACAUUCUCUAAAAUAGAGAAUACGGAUAAUAUAUUGAAAUAUAUAUUUUAAGGAGGAUUUAGUAGUAAGUAAAAAUCAGAGUGUUUAACUGAACUAGGCCCUAAAGCGUGC